CACGGGGGGAGCAAGCGUUGUUCGGAUUCAUUGGGCGUAAAGAGCUCGUAGGCGGUCUGUCGCGUCGAUCGUGAAAACUUGGGGCUUAACCCUGAGCUUGCGGUCGAUACGGGCAUGACUGGAGUUCGGCAGGGGAGACUGGAAUUCCUGGUGUAGCGGUGAAAUGCGCAGAUAUCAGGAGGAACACCGAUGGCGAAGGCAGGUCUCUGGGCCGAUACUGACGCUGAGGAGCGAAAGCGUGGGGAGCGAACCGG
RNAcentral lists this ribosomal RNA (254 nucleotides) under uncultured bacterium. Its description in RNAcentral is "partial 16S ribosomal RNA". It matches the Rfam family "Bacterial small subunit ribosomal RNA", at positions 524 to 776 of the family's 1533-position model. The record is from RNAcentral.